This 427-nucleotide ribosomal RNA is filed under the name uncultured bacterium. Its description in RNAcentral is "bacterial SSU rRNA". It matches the Rfam family "Bacterial small subunit ribosomal RNA", at positions 355 to 775 of the family's 1533-position model. The record is from RNAcentral.
UGGGGAGUCUUGCGCAAUGGGCGAAAGCAUGACGCAGCAACGCCGCGUGAGCGAAGAAGGACUUCGGGUUGUAAAGCUCUGUCAGGGGGAAAGAAGGCACCUGGGUUAAUAGCCCAAGGGCUGACGGUACCCCCAAAGGAAGCCACGGCUAACUACGUGCCAGCAGCCGCGGUAAUACGUAGGUGGCGAGCGUUGUCCGGAAUCAUUGGGCGUAAAGAGCGCGUAGGUGGCUUGUCAGGUCCGAUGUGAAAACCUGGGGCUCAACUCCAGGCCUGCAUCGGAAACCGGCUUGCUAGAGUCUGGGAGAGGAGAGUGGAAUUCCUGGUGUAGCGGUGAAAUGCGUAGAUAUCAGGAGGAACACCGGUAGCGAAGUCGGCUCUCUGGAACAGUACUGACGCUGAGGCGCGAACGCUAGGGGAGCGAACAG